Molecule: unclassified non-coding RNA, 520 nt
Filed under: uncultured Entrophospora
Lineage: Eukaryota; Fungi; Glomeromycota; Glomeromycetes; Entrophosporales; Entrophosporaceae
Description: SSU rRNA
Rfam family: Eukaryotic small subunit ribosomal RNA
Source: RNAcentral
AGCAGCCGCGGUAAUUCCAGCUCCAAUAGCGUAUAUUAAAGUUGUUGCAGUUAAAAGCUCGUAGUUGAAUUUCGGGAUUGGCGCAUCGGUCGUGCCUCACGGGGUAUGAACUGGUGCAGUCAAUUUCUCACCUUCUGGAGAACCGCGAUGUCCUUAAUUGGAUGCCGCGGGGAACCAGGACCUUUACUUUGAAAAAUUAGAGUGUUUAAAGCAGGCAUUUUGCUUGAAUACAUUAGCAUGGAAUAAUAAAAUAGGACGGCAUGGUUCUAUUUUGUUGGUUUCUAGGACCACCGUAACGAUUAAUAGGGAUAGUUGGGGGCAUUAGUAUUCAAUUGUCAGAGGUGAAAUUCUUGGAUUUAUUGAAGACUAACUACUGCGAAAGCAUUUGCCAAGGAUGUUUUCAUUAAUCAAGAACGAAAGUUAGGGAUCGAAGACGAUCAGAUACCGUCGUAGUCUUAACCAUAAACUAUGCCGACUAGGGAUCGGAUGAUGUUAAUUUUUAAUGUACUCAUUCGGCGUC